Molecule: ribosomal RNA, 347 nt
Filed under: uncultured bacterium
Lineage: Bacteria
Description: partial 16S ribosomal RNA
Rfam family: Bacterial small subunit ribosomal RNA
Source: RNAcentral
CCUACGGGUGGCAGCAGUCGAGAAUCAUUCACAAUGGGGGAAACCCUGAUGGUGCGACGCCGCGUGGGGGAAUGAAGGUCUUGGGAUUGUAAGCCACUGUCAUGUGGGAGCAAAUUAAAAAGAUAGACCCACAAGAGGAAGCGACGGCUAACUCUGUGCCAGCAGCCGCGGUAAUACGGAGGUCUCAAGCGUUGUUCGGAGUCACUGGGCGUAACGCGUGCGUAGGCUGUUGCGUAAGUCGUGUGUGAAAGGCGCGGGCUCAACCCGCGGACGGCACAUGAUACUGCGAGACUAGAGUAAAGGAGGGGUAACCGGAAUGCGUGGUGUAGCAGUGAAAUGCGUAGAUA